AUUGAACGCUGGCGGCAUGCUUUACACAUGCAAGUCGAGCGGCAGCGCGGGGGCAACCCUGGCGGCGAGCGGCGAACGGGUGAGUAAUGCAUCGGAACGUAUCCUCGAGUGGGGGAUAACCCAGCGAAAGUUGGGCUAAUACCGCAUGAGCUCUGAGGAGGAAAGCGGGGGACCUGCGAGGGCCUCGCGCUGGAGGAGCGGCCGAUGUCCGAUUAGCUAGUUGGUGGGGUAAAGGCUUACCAAGGCGACGAUCGGUAGCUGGUCUGAGAGGAUGAUCAGCCACACUGGGACUGAGACACGGCCCAGACUCCUACGGGAGGCAGCAGUGGGGAAUUUUGGACAAUGGGGGCAACCCUGAUCCAGCCAUGCCGCGUGAGUGAAGAAGGCCUUCGGGUUGUAAAGCUCUUUCGGACGGAACGAAAUGGGCGGGACUAAUACUCCUGGCUGAUGACGGUACCGUAAGAAGAAGCACCGGCUAACUACGUG
This 486-nucleotide ribosomal RNA is filed under the name uncultured bacterium. RNAcentral describes it as "partial 16S ribosomal RNA". It matches the Rfam family "Bacterial small subunit ribosomal RNA", at positions 29 to 507 of the family's 1533-position model. The record is from RNAcentral.